AGAUUGAACGCUGGCGGCAGGCCUAACACAUGCAAGUCGAGCGGCAGCACGGGUACUUGUACCUGGUGGCGAGCGGCGGACGGGUGAGUAAUGCCUAGGAAUCUGCCUGAUAGUGGGGGAUAACGCUCGGAAACGGACGCUAAUACCGCAUACGUCCUACGGGAGAAAGCAGGGGACCUUCGGGCCUUGCGCUAUCAGAUGAGCCUAGGUCGGAUUAGCUAGUUGGUGGGGUAAUGGCUCACCAAGGCGACGAUCCGUAACUGGUCUGAGAGGAUGAUCAGUCACACUGGAACUGAGACACGGUCCAGACUCCUACGGGAGGCAGCAGUGGGGAAUAUUGGACAAUGGGCGAAAGCCUGAUCCAGCCAUGCCGCGUGUGUGAAGAAGGUCUUCGGAUUGUAAAGCACUUUAAGUUGGAGGAAGGCAGUUACCUAAUACGUAUCUGUUUGACGUUACCGACAGAAUAAGCACCGGCUAACUCUGUGCC
Molecule: ribosomal RNA, 487 nt
Filed under: uncultured soil bacterium
Lineage: Bacteria
Description: bacterial SSU rRNA
Rfam family: Bacterial small subunit ribosomal RNA
Source: RNAcentral